AUAUUCUUGACAGGUUUUCAGCAGUCAGUGAGGAAAUCCCAACCCCGGAACACUAGCAACAAGUUUACUUGCAGGAGGAUGCAUUCUCUGAACUAAUUUUGAUAUUUGCCAUUAAGAAAGAUAUUACUAAAACCAAAGUUAACAUAUAAGAAUUUUGUUACACUUUUAAAAUCCCAUUAAAACACCACUGAAUUUGUUUAAAUUGCCGUCAUAUUUUAUAGGAUAAUCAUUAAACUUUUGAUACAAAACAAAAAAAUAACAGGUACAUGUUACAGUUACUUGCACUAGGAUGUACACAUCAAAAGCAACUGGCCUUACUGUCUGCAACCAAGCAUCCUACCUCGAGGAGGUUACCUUUCAACUUCUCAAACCUUCAGCAAUUAACCAUGUUUACAUAUUGGGGCUAUAGUCAAGGCCAUCAUAAGUCCUCGCUAGUUCCUGCCAGUCCAUCACAUCCCAUUGCAAGUCAUCCGGGGGGGGGGGAGAAUUUGAGCUAGAGACAUGUUCAGCUGCAUUUUUUUUUAAUAAGAAAUACGGGGGGGGGUGAGGAUCAUUUUAAAAAUGGUAAUUUGGACUCUCUUUACAGAAAAAACCCUCCGCCUAAGCAAAAGCCUGGAUACAGUAGCAUAUCCAACGGUGGGUAUUUUAAAUCAAAUACUGACAUUUUAUUUAUCGAAUAUUAGCACCAGGGCUCUAAGAAAAAAAAAGCCAAAAACACCAUGAAAUAAAACUGAGGAUGUACGGACCAUGAGGCUUUUGAUUUCCAAAAGCUGGAUAUGCCGCUGGUCAUCCAGUCUCAAGUGAAGAUGCAAGCUGAUCAAAUGAAAGUGUGACAAACAUGACGAAGGCAUUCCUUUUUCAAUGUUCCCCCAGCUACUUGUGACUGGACUUGUGAUGGACUAACAGCAUGCACGGCCCAAUACUGGGCAAUACAUGUAUGCUUAGCAGUGUCUACAAAUUAUGUCCACUCUCUCUGUGUAGUGUAGGAUUUCUGCCUCCAAAGCCAUUUCCCUCCACAUUAUGAAAGCUGUGCACCAGACUCUUUGUCUACAUAGCUUUAUAUAACCCGCACAUUCGGUCUCUUGACAAGGAAUGAGCACAUCACAUGGCAUUCACUUUCUACCAUCUUUUCAGAGUCACUUCUGUUAUCUAGAUAGCUUUACGAACUCAUCAACAGAUUCUGUCUCUUAAAAGGAUAAGAGAACAUCGCAUGAUUUUCACUUUCCGCUAUUUUAUUGUUUUCUUGUCCAGAUGGCUUGAUAUUCUCAUCUCUUAUAAGGAUGCCAGCAUGUCAAAUGUUAUUACUUUCUGCUAUGUUGUUGUCUUUAUUGUCUAGAUGGCUUUAAAACCCGAGUCUCAGGUGCCAUCUCUUGGAGCACAUCACGUGACAUUCACUUUGUACUCUUUUAUUGUGCAUAUACCACAGCAAGAUCUUUCACCCUAACCAUGCUGAACCCAACAAAGUUAUGCAGGAUUUCAAUGGUACUAGGGGGUUAGGGUUAAUGAAAGGCCUAGGAGCAACUGAAAUACAUGUAACAUCCUAUCAGCAGCUGGAAUCCCAAGCCAACAUGUAUGCUGUAUCCAUUUUUUUUCGAUCACACACUGAGUUGGAUGGAAGCAUUUUCCUCAAGGAGUUGUUUUGAAAUAUUCAAGUGCCUUUAUAGUUUUACAAUGUACAUUUGAGUUGAAAAACAGGUGCAUUCGUUGAUAGUGUACAGAAUUUAAGGGUGAGGCGGUAUCAAACAAGUACUGCAUGCUUCAUUUGUCUGACUUUGAUAUCAAUACACAGGGAGUUGAACCACCAACUCGAGGCUGGGUAGCUUACAUGUACUUGGCAGAGUGCAGACACAGCGUUACUAUGUUCAAAUCCAACCCCCGUCAAUUUCUUUGCUCAUCCUCAUGAACGCCGACUGCGUUAACUAAUAAAACUAACUGCCUUCAAUGCUCUGUUGAUC
This is a long non-coding RNA of Acanthaster planci (crown-of-thorns starfish), 1955 nucleotides long. NCBI's taxonomy places the organism in Eukaryota, Metazoa, Echinodermata, Asteroidea, Valvatida, Acanthasteridae. The record is from RefSeq and is a predicted model, not a curated record.